GAUGAACGCUGGCGGCGUGCCUAAUACAUGCAAGUCGAGCGAACGGACGAGAAGCUUGCUUCUCUGAUGUUAGCGGCGGACGGGUGAGUAACACGUGGAUAACCUACCUAUAAGACUGGGAUAACUUCGGGAAACCGGAGCUAAUACCGGAUAAUAUUUUGAACCGCAUGGUUCAAAAGUAAAAGACGGUCUUGCUGUCACUUAUAGAUGGAUCCGCGCUGCAUUAGCUAGUUGGUAAGGUAACGGCUUACCAAGGCAACGAUGCAUAGCCGACCUGAGAGGGUGAUCGGCCACACUGGAACUGAGACACGGUCCAGACUCCUACGGGAGGCAGCAGUAGGGAAUCUUCCGCAAUGGGCGAAAGCCUGACGGAGCAACGCCGCGUGAGUGGUGAAGGUCUUCGGAUCGUAAAACUCUGUUAUUAGGGAAGAAUAUAUGUGUAAGUAACUGUGCACAUCUUGACGGUACCUAAUCAGAAAGCCACGGCUAACUACGUGCCAGCAGCCGCGGUAAUACGUAGGUGGNCAGCGUUAUCCGGAAUUAUUGGGCGUAAAGCGCGCGUAGGCGGUUUUUUAAGUCUGAUGUGAAAGCCCACGGCUCAACCGUGGAGGGUCAUUGGAAACUGGAAAACUUGAGUGCAGAAGAGGAAAGUGGAAUUCCAUGUGUAGCGGUGAAAUGCGCAGAGAUAUGGAGGAACACCAGUGGCGAAGGCGACUUUCUGGACUGUAACUGACGCUGAUGUGCGAAAGCGUGGGGAUCAAACAGGAUUAGAUACCCUGGUAGUCCACGCCGUAAACGAUGAGUGCUAAGUGUUAGGGGGUUUCCGCCCCUUAGUGCUGCAGCUAACGCAUUAAGCACUCCGCCUGGGGAGUACGACCGCAAGGUUGAAACUCAAAGGAAUUGACGGGGACCCGCACAAGCGGUGGAGCAUGUGGUUUAAUUCGAAGCAACGCGAAGAACCUUACCAAAUCUUGACAUCCUUUGACAACUCUAGAGAUAGAGCCUUCCCCUUCGGGGGACAAAGUGACAGGUGGUGCAUGGUUGUCGUCAGCUCGUGUCGUGAGACGUUGGGUUAAGUCCCGCAACGAGCGCAACCCUUAAGCUUAGUUGCCAUCAUUAAGUUGGGCACUCUAAGUUGACUGCCGGUGACAAACCGGAGGAAGGUGGGGAUGACGUCAAAUCAUCAUGCCCCUUAUGAUUUGGGCUACACACGUGCUACAAUGGACAAUACAAAGGGCAGCGAAACCGCGAGGUCAAGCAAAUCCCAUAAAGUUGUUCUCAGUUCGGAUUGUAGUCUGCAACUCGACUACAUGAAGCUGGAAUCGCUAGUAAUCGUAGAUCAGCAUGCUACGGUGAAUACGUUCCCGGGUCU
RNAcentral lists this ribosomal RNA (1372 nucleotides) under uncultured bacterium. RNAcentral's name for it is "bacterial SSU rRNA". It matches the Rfam family "Bacterial small subunit ribosomal RNA", at positions 28 to 1381 of the family's 1533-position model. The record is from RNAcentral.